RNAcentral lists this ribosomal RNA (460 nucleotides) under uncultured bacterium. RNAcentral's name for it is "partial 16S ribosomal RNA". It matches the Rfam family "Bacterial small subunit ribosomal RNA", at positions 338 to 795 of the family's 1533-position model. The record is from RNAcentral.
CCUACGGGUGGCAGCAGUGAGGAAUAUUGGUCAAUGGGCGGGAGCCUGAACCAGCCAAGCCGCGUGAGGGAAGAAGGUACAGCGUAUCGUAAACCUCUUUUGUCAGGGAACAAAGGCGGGGACUAGUCCCCGAAUGAGGGUACCUGAAGAAAAAGCAUCGGCUAACUCCGUGCCAGCAGCCGCGGUAAUACGGAGGAUGCGAGCGUUAGCCGGAUUUAUUGGGUUUAAAGGGUGCGCAGGCGGCCUGUUAAGUCAGCGGUAAAAGUCCGGGGGUCAACGUGGCAACUGCCUUGGAAACUGGCAAAGUGGAGUGUGUGAGAGGAUAGUGGAAUUCCAGGUGUAGGAGUGAAAUCCGUAGAUAUCUGGAGUAACAUCAGUGGCGAAGGCGAGUAUCUGGCACAUAACUGACGCUGAGGAGCGAAAGCGUGGGUAGCAAACAGGAUUAGAUACCCCAGUAGUC